UACGGGGGGGGCAAGCGUUGUUCGGAAUUACUGGGCGUAAAGGGCUCGUAGGCGGCCAACUAAGUCAGACGUGAAAUCCCUAGGCUCAACCUAGGAACUGCGUCUGAUACUGGAUGGCUUGAAUCCGGGAGAGGGAUGCAGAAUUCCAGGUGUAGCGGUGAAAUGCGUAGAUAUCUGGAGGAACACCGGUGGCGAAGGCGGCAUCCUGGACCGAUAUUGACGCUGAGGAGCGAAAGCCAGGGGAGCAAACGGG
RNAcentral lists this ribosomal RNA (253 nucleotides) under uncultured bacterium. RNAcentral's name for it is "partial 16S ribosomal RNA". It matches the Rfam family "Bacterial small subunit ribosomal RNA", at positions 524 to 776 of the family's 1533-position model. The record is from RNAcentral.